CCUACGGGAGGCAGCAGUGAGGAAUAUUGGUCAAUGGGCGAGAGCCUGAACCAGCCAAGUCGCGUGAAGGAUGACGGCCCUACGGGUUGUAAACUUCUUUUGUCAGGGAGCAAUUGAGUCCACGUGUGGGCUUAGCGAGAGUACCUGAAGAAAAAGCAUCGGCGAACUCCGUCCCAGCAGCCGCGGUAAUACGGAGGAUGCGAGGUUUAUCCGGUUUUAUUGGGUUUAAAGGGUGCGUAGGCGGAAGUUAAAGUCAGCGGGAAAAGUUGGGGGCUCAACCCCGUCGUGCCGUUGAAACUGGUGUGCUUGAGUGGGCGAGAAGUAUGCGGAAUGCGUGGUGUAGCGGUGAAAUGCAUAGAUAUCACGCAGAACUCCGAUUGCGAAGGCAGCAUACCGGCGCCCAACUGACGCUGAAGCACGAAAGCGUGGGUAUCGAACAGGAUUAGAUACCCCAGUAGUC
RNAcentral lists this ribosomal RNA (460 nucleotides) under uncultured bacterium. RNAcentral's name for it is "partial 16S ribosomal RNA". It matches the Rfam family "Bacterial small subunit ribosomal RNA", at positions 338 to 795 of the family's 1533-position model. The record is from RNAcentral.